Molecule: ribosomal RNA, 301 nt
Filed under: uncultured bacterium
Lineage: Bacteria
Description: partial 16S ribosomal RNA
Rfam family: Bacterial small subunit ribosomal RNA
Source: RNAcentral
CAGUAGCCGCGGUAAGACGGAGGGUGCUAGCGUUGUUCGGAAUUACUGGGCGUAAAGGGCGCGUAGGCGGCCUGUUAAGUCGGAUGUGAAAGCCCGGGGCUCAACCCCGGAACUGCAUCCGAGACUGGCAGGCUUGAGACCGGGAGAGGAGGGUGGAAUAUCCAGUGUAGAGGUGAAAUUCGUAGAUAUUGGAUGGAACACCGGUGGCGAAAGCGGCUCUCUGGCCCGGAUCUGACGCUGAGGCGCGAAAGCGUGGGGAGCAAACAGGAUUAGAUACCCGCGUAGUCCCUGUCUCUUAUAC